ACGCCGUUUGUGGAUACUCAUACACUCUUUGUAAUCCAACUAUCUCUGCAGUUAAUCGAUCCAAUCCCUUGGUAACGAAACCCUUUCACUUCCGCUCUAAUCAUCAUUAAACAUGGUUCUUCGUUGUGUUCUUGCAUCUCCAAUCUGUUAAAAGGAUGGUUUGCCUUUCAAUGAAUUAGUUAGUUAAGGUUUAUGGAUCUAAUAGUAAGUAUUUAAUUACUAUUUUUUUUGCCUUCUUUGUUUAUGAUUUGAUGCAGAUUCGGAUUUAUAUGGGCAGGAAAAUUUUCAGGUCAACCUCUACAAUUACUCGAUUGAAACCCUGGGAAGGCGAUGGGUAAAUAUCUCUGCCAAGUUUUGCUUCGCAUCGUGCAUCUCCUAUUCAGCAGCCACUAAUCACUGGAUCACCAACUACAAACUCUAAUCUAUCAUAUUCAAGCUUUGGUUGUUCAUCUACACCAUGCUACCGCCGCUAAUGAACUCAAUUCUGUUGGUUGUUUCAUUGCUGUUGUACCACCACUUUGAUCUAAGGUGUUACAAUUCACUACCACCUAUAAGCAAGGUGUAUGGAACCUUGUGUUUGCUAACUAUAUCAGCUGUUUCACUAAAAAGUUUGGCAACCUAUUAUAAUGCAUUGCUCCAUGCAGAGGUCUUUUAUCGUUUUCAGGACUUCAUGGUAGGCGAUAAAGAAGACAAAGUAAUUAGAAAGUAAGUUGCAUUUGAAUCCAAGCUUGAAUAUUUUCAUAUUUAUACAUCUAUUGUUUCACUGCUUAUGUCAUUUUUAGUUGUUUAAAGAUUUCAUGCAUAUCGGUAUUGGUUUGUGAAUAUGGAUGGUUAUAGGUUGUUAUUGGGCAGGGUCGUAGGGGUGGAGACUGAAAACUGAGAAUGGACUUUUACAUUGCUAUAGUGCCACAUGUAUGCGUGUUUCUGUAGUCAAGUAGGUUCUCUACGUGUUUCGCAUUGACUGCUGUCUGUUUAUACACACCUUCAAAAAACUUUUUCUAGAUUGAUGUUUUAUCUUAUAGAUUUCAGUAGAAUAAAGUGAUGAUUGGAUCUUUGUUGUUUAAUAUUCUUGAUUCUUCUAUUACAUCUCCAUCCCUGUUUGUUUCCAUUGGUUUUGUUCCUUUUUUUCCUAAAAGUUGCAGGCGACGAUGGUGUUACAAAUAUAAGAAGUAUGCCAGACUGCCUUAAGCGACUUCUUCCACAUUUGACAUACGUGGUAAAGGGAUUAAUAAGCCAAAGCGACAUAUCUCUAGAAGAAAUUCAGGAGUUCCAAUAGUUGGAGGGAUGCUUAUACAGCCAAUCGGUUAGAGAAGUGAAGAACAAGUGGGUCUGGAAAGGUUCAGAAGGAACAAAUGAUUUCAUAGUUAAGCAGGUAAGUACUGAGCUUGCGAGGGUCAAGGCAGGUGAGUGAGCAGCAGGGUGUUUUUAGUUGGUGUAUGGUCACAGUUCCAAAGGUCAAUUGUUUUUUCUGGAGGCAUUAGAUGUCAAAAUCCCGACUGCCUCGACUCUUGCCAAAAGGGGUGCGAAUAUGUGCGAUGGGAAAUUCCCGCUGUGCAUCAGUGAGGACGAGACUUCGGAAUGCAGCUUUGUGAAUGAAGUAUGGGGUUAGUUUGGAGCUGGUUAAGUGUCCAGGUCCCGGAUGAGUUAGUUUCGGUUAAACAAAUGCUGCAAUAUGGUAGCAGGGUAGAUACAUCGAAGCUAUUUAAAGAGAUUAUCAAGGCCAUAUUCUUGAAGGCUAUAUGGUGGAUAUGGUUAUGUAGUAAUGGGAAGAUUUUUUUAAUGCAUAGUGACCUCGGUGCCCUUGGUAGUGGAAAGAAUCAAGGUCAGUAUGUUUUGGUGUAUGUUUUGCCUUCUUUUUGCAGCUUGCCAAAGGAGGUCUUAUGCUAAUAAAAAGCACUUUGCUAGCCAAAAAAAGAUUCUUAACAAUUAAUUUGUCCAACCUGAUGGCUGGUCGAUAAUUAUUGCGUAUAUAUUAUACAUAUAUGGUUUGAUUAUAAAACUCUUUGCUUAUGCGUUGAACGAUGGUUUUGAUUUUGAAGUUAUUAUGGCAGAUCAUCAUUGUUGAUAAACAAGAAAUUCAAAUUAGUUUCACUAAUAAUUAUUAAUAUAUAUAUAUAUAUAUAUAUAUAUUAAUAGAGAAAGAGAAUGAACAGUGGUUUUAUUGUGUAAUUGGUAGAUUUGGACGACUGUUUUUGCUGAUUGGAUUACCUGGCGGUUCUAAUUACAAAAUUUUAAAACCACCUCUCAUCAACUCAUCUUUCUUGGCCUCUUCUCCAUUCUCACUCACUCUAAACAACACAUACUUAAAAGUUCUUUAAGCAUGGGGUAGAAUUUGGACACCAGAUCAUUGUCGGUUGUCUCCGGGUGACAUCGACUGUGGCUGCUCAGUUGAGCCGUUUACAAGAGCUUUCUCUGCUCUGUUUUCUGGUCAGCUAUUUUUAGUUUUGUUUUCACGUCAGAGGAUGCGAGAACGGUGUUUAUUACCGUGGAUCAUCACCAUACAAUUUUGAAGUUUAUUAGAUUUAUUUCAGAACCAUGAUGGUCUCUACACAUGAGUUCUUAUCGAUGAAAGCUUAUGACAAUUUUCUUUCGUUUUUGCAUUUUUUCGAGAGCAAUGUUUAUAUAACUUUGAAAAUAUGGGUUGUUUGUUUUGACCCUCAUUCUCGUAUGAAGUUGUGAUGCCCAGCUAAGAUUCGGAGGCUAUGAUGGACCUGAUGGUUUCCUGAGUCUCCAUUGUAAAAACACCUAUUAGCUUAGAAAUCGUGCACAUGAAUUGUUCGAUGAAAUGAUUUUAUUGGUUGAUUGUUAGAAAUAUGGGAUGUUCAUACCUAUUAGCUCAGAAAGUUUACAUUAUGAACACGUAAUAGUUUGAGAAUUGCGCUGAUCUAUGUAACUGAUGCUUUUUAUGGGUUUUGCAUGACAAAUCGGUGUCUGUUUAUCUGCAUGGUUUUGUCUGUUCGUGCCGAUGAUCAAACCUGUUUGCCUAAUUCGCCAUGGCGGCUUCUUCAGGUAUUGAAAGCGGGAUGAUUGAUGAUUGCAGCUGAUCAUUAGAGCUCAUGGUACGUUUCAUUUAACUUGCUAUAUUUUCUAUUUCUUUAAUUUUAUUCACAUAAAAACAUUUGGUUUGUAUAUGAUCGUCAGUAUUGUAAGUGUUAUUAGGUUUGCAUCAGAUUCUUUAACCUUUUAAAGACUUUGAUUUUGUGAGAUGGGAUUUGGUUACCUUCUAAAGUUAUAGCUAAAUAGGAACAUGUCAAAUAGUAAAAGGUAAAUCAAAGUGUUUGUUAUGUGCAUAAAACCUCCUAUAUCACUUUAUUUAAAAAUUAGAUUAUGAUUGAAAUUACGUGAAAUGUUUAACUAUAUUAGACAUUAAUUAUUUUAGAACUUCUACAUUUUUCGGUUUUGUAUAGUUUUUUGUUGAAAAGAGGUGGAUAAGAGCUAUAAGUUGGACCCGUUGGUCACCAUUCUUGCGAUUUAGGAUAAGCUCCAGGUAAACAAACAAAUAAUUAAAUGAUUCAUAUUGCUAAUCUUUUGAAGUGUUCACACAUAUCAGAUAAUAUGAUACAUGCUCCAAUAAGUUUGCAAAUAUAUGAACUCAUAGAGCACUUUGAGAUGAACUAACAACCUGACUUCUAAAAUGUAGACUAGGGGUUUGUCAAAUUAAUUUCCGUUACUUCAACAUCAGGUAUUUUUAUGUAUAAGAAUCGGGUCAAAGUGACUAAUUGUAAUAGGUUCGAAUGAAACACGGAUUAUGUUCGAAGUGGUUUAGGUUGAAGGGGUCAGGUAGGGUCAAGUAACAGGUCAUAACUGGUUUGGGUCAAAAUAGUUUCUGCCUGAAAUGGAUUUGGGUUGAACUUGAAGUGUAAGGUAGCUAAUCAUAAUGGGUUCGAGUUGAAAUGGUUUGUUUUAGAAUAUAUAUAUAUAACAAAACUGCAAGCAUGAUAGUCUCAAACUUAUUUAGUUCAGUAUUACUUGAAUGUCAUAAUGUUGAAUCAACUUGAGCUACAAAUUUAUAAUUCUUCUUAAAAUUUUACUGUGAUUUUGUUUGUGCUUUGAUAGGUAGAGGACCCACUUUUUAUUUGAUAUUGGUUUUAAUUUUUUUUAAUUUCAAUUCAUUCAAUUUGCCAUUAAUACCAAUUGGAUGUGUCAUUUUAGGUCAGUAUGCGAUCUUCAUAAAUGUUAGUAUGCUAAUGUUGUUUUA
RNA transcript from Helianthus annuus (common sunflower), 4198 nucleotides. RefSeq lists it as uncharacterized. NCBI's taxonomy places the organism in Eukaryota, Viridiplantae, Streptophyta, Magnoliopsida, Asterales, Asteraceae. The record is from RefSeq and is a predicted model, not a curated record. The transcript is spliced from 6 exons.